GACGAACGCUGGCGGCGUGCUUAACACAUGCAAGUCGAACGGAAAGGCCCUGCUUGCCGGGUACUCGAGUGGCGAACGGGUGAGUAACACGUGGGUGAUCUGCCCUGCACUUCGGGAUAAGCCUGGGAAACUGGGUCUAAUACCGGAUAUGACCUUCCAUGUAGUGUGGGGGGUGGAAAGAUUUAUCGGUGUGGGAUGAGCCCGCGGCCUAUCAGCUUGUUGGUGGGGUAAUGGCCUACCAAGGCGUCGACGGGUAGCCGGCCUGAGAGGGUGGACGGCCACAUUGGGACUGAGAUACGGCCCAGACUCCUACGGGAGGCAGCAGUGGGGAAUAUUGCACAAUGGGCGGAAGCCUGAUGCAGCGACGCCGCGUGGGGGAUGACGGCCUUCGGGUUGUAAACCUCUUUCGACAGGGACGAAGCUUCGGUGACGGUACCUGUAGAAGAAGCACCGGCUAACUACGUG
This 465-nucleotide ribosomal RNA is filed under the name uncultured bacterium. RNAcentral's name for it is "partial 16S ribosomal RNA". It matches the Rfam family "Bacterial small subunit ribosomal RNA", at positions 28 to 507 of the family's 1533-position model. The record is from RNAcentral.